CGCACCGGUACAGUGACCGGGUCGUCGUCAGGACCGCGUGAGGGGAAGCCGGUGGGAAUCCGGCGCUGACCCGCAGCCGUGAGCCGCCCGCACCAUCGGGGCAGGCGCAGCCGGAAUGCCUCACCGGACUCAUGACCGGCUC
Molecule: non-coding RNA, 142 nt
Filed under: Streptomyces sp.
Lineage: Bacteria; Bacillati; Actinomycetota; Actinomycetes; Kitasatosporales; Streptomycetaceae
Source: RNAcentral